RNAcentral lists this ribosomal RNA (555 nucleotides) under uncultured Halalkalicoccus sp. RNAcentral's name for it is "bacterial SSU rRNA". It matches the Rfam family "Archaeal small subunit ribosomal RNA", at positions 325 to 879 of the family's 1478-position model. The record is from RNAcentral. Lineage: Archaea; Methanobacteriati; Methanobacteriota; Halobacteria; Halobacteriales; Halalkalicoccaceae.
ACGGGGAGCAGCAGGCGCGAAACCCUUACACUGCACGAACGUGCGAUAAGGGGACUCCAAGUGCGAGGGCAUACAGUCCUCGCUUUUUCCUACCGUAAGGAGGUAGGCGAAUAAGAGCUGGGCAAGACCGGUGCCAGCCGCCGCGGUAAUACCGGCAGCUCGAGUGAUGGCCACUAUUAUUGGGCCUAAAGCGUCCGUAGCUGGCCGAACAGGUCCGUCGGGAAAUCCGCUCGCUCAACGAGCGGACGUCCGGCGGAAACCAGUCGGCUUGGGACCGGAGGACCCGAGGGGUACGUCCGGGGUAGGAGUGAAAUCCUGUAAUCCUGGACGGACCACCGGUGGCGAAAGCGCCUCGGGAGGACGGGUCCGACAGUGAGGGACGAAAGCUUGGGUCACGAACCGGAUUAGAUACCCGGGUAGUCCAAGCUGUAAACGAUGCUCGCUAGGUGUGGCACUGGCUACGAGCCAGUGCUGUGCCGUAGGGAAGCCGAGAAGCGAGCCGCCUGGGAAGUACGUCCGCAAGGAUGAAACUUAAAGGAAUUGGCGGGGGAGCAC